CGCUCUGAGGAGAGGGAGGAGCGCGGCGCAUGCGUUGCAGCACAGCGCAGCGCUCCUGGAGAGGCUGUGGGUUCGUGGCAUCCGCGCCGCGGCCGCAAGUAUAGCAGGUUUCGUACCUGGUGUUCAUCGCCGUUAAGUCAUCGCUGCUGCCACCCAGGCACGGCUCUCUAUGCCGCCGCUCCCUCCACCCUCUAGGCACUGCCUGCCGUAAGAAUUUUAACUGCGACACUCGCUUCAGCAGGAGAUUUUAUUGGCUGCAGACACACGCAGCAUCUUCUUGCGCUCCUCCUUGAGGUGGAUGGGCAGCUAGCUGGAGAUGACACAGGAUGAUGCGCAUCUUUCGCACGCUGGCUCCAAGAUCUCCGCUGCCAGAUGCAGCAACAAAGCUUCUUUGUACAGACAGCCCUGGACACACUUCCAGCAGCAAUUCUUCUUGCAGGAACUGGUGCAAGAACAGGAUUUAUUCGUGGCACAGGAGCAGUUGGUGUCCACUGGGAGUGGAGGCAGAAGAGAGACCAGAGCGGUGACUUCAACAGAAGUGGAGUAAAUAAAGAUGAUCACAGAACUUGGAAGCUGACGAAAUUAAUUUUGGAAAAGAGCUGGCUUGGAGCAUGACAGAAGAAUUCGAUGGAAAGAGUGCUGGGAGCCCAACUCAAGACUGAUGUGUGCUUGGCAGGCAGUCUACCCCCGAUCUCAGUCCUCCAGCCUUUCGGCCUUUUUUCCUUUUUGGAGACAGAAUUGCAUCAUAUGGCAUCCUACACAGUCCUGCCUCAGUCUCUGCAGUGCUGGGAUUGUAGGCCUAUGCCACCUAGCCUUUCUACAAUACAAACAAAUAUGAAAAGAAGAGGGACUUCUUUGGAAAGGAGUACAGGGACUAUGGAAGAGAUGAAAAGAUAAUAUUGUCAGAAAUUAUGCCGCUUUUGAAGAGAUAAACUGAACUCUUGAUUCUGUGAGGUUAUUAAAGAAUAUUAAUUUUCAAAUCACGGUAAAAUCUUGAUUCAGCAACACAUGAGGAUAAUCAUUGUGUCCAUGGAAACCUUGGGAAGCAGUUGAAAGCCUGGUCCCUCUUGCCUGGAGCAUUAACACAACGUGGCUGCAAAGUUAGUCCUUUCCCGCUACCAUCUCCUGAAUACUGGGACUAACUACACGUAUGCACGAACCUGCCCAUCUUUGCCUCUGUUAACAGCUGCCACUGUCUCUUCACGACAUGAUGGCUGACCUAGGGAAGAUAUUUUUGAAAAAGGGUUUAGCGUUUGCCAGAUCCUAUGCGUGAGUGACCUCAAAAGAGAAGAGGAGGGUACUUCUCAAUGACAAAGCAGUUGGAAGGAACAGAGCCAGUUGGCCAUGGACUGAAACUUUUGGAACUGAUUCUGAGGAGUUAAUGUUUCCAUGAAUAUCUCAGAAGGAGAUGUGGACAAACGAACAGUUAUCUCACUCCUGUAGCUAUCUUUCUUAUCCAGCCCAGGCCCUCCCACCGAGAAGUGGCACUAACCACCACAGGUCAAUAUAAUGGAGACAGUUCUUCAAUUGAUGUUCCCCCUUCCCAGGGGUUUCAUUUGCAAAUGCCUGCAGGAUCCAGAUGGGGGACAUGUGUGAGAUGGCUCCUGGUAUUCAUUCUCUCUCUCUUUCUCUCUCUCUCUCUCUCUCUCUCUCUCUCUCUCUCUCUCAAAGCUGGGUUUUGUGGUGUUUUUUCUUUAUCAGAGAGAUUACCGGAUGCCAAGGGACAGAUGGUGGAUCUAAGAGGAUGGGAGAGUAUUUGAGGCCCCGACCCAUUUAAUGUGCAAAAUGCAUCUAAAGAGAAAGGCUAGUGGGCUGGUGAGAUGGCUCAGUGGGUUAGAGCACCCGACUGCUCUUCCGAAGGUCCAGAGUUCAAAUCCCAGCAACCACAUGGUGGCUCACAACCAUCCGUAACAAGAUCUGACUCCCUCUUCUGGAGUGUCUGAAGACAGCUACAGUGUACUUACAUAUAAUAAAUAAAUAAAUCUUUAAAAAAAAAAAAAAAAAAAAAAGAGAAAGGCUAGUACU
This 2025-nucleotide long non-coding RNA is filed under the name Mus musculus (house mouse). RNAcentral describes it as "Ftx transcript, Xist regulator, non-protein coding". Lineage: Eukaryota; Metazoa; Chordata; Mammalia; Rodentia; Muridae. The record is from RNAcentral.